RNAcentral lists this ribosomal RNA (292 nucleotides) under uncultured bacterium. Its description in RNAcentral is "partial 16S ribosomal RNA". It matches the Rfam family "Bacterial small subunit ribosomal RNA", at positions 505 to 796 of the family's 1533-position model. The record is from RNAcentral.
GUGCCAGCCGCCGCGGUAAUACGGAGGAUGCGAGCGUUAUCCGGAUUCAUUGGGUUUAAAGGGUGCGUAGGCGGACUAUUAAGUCAGUGGUGAAAUCCUGCAGCUUAACUGCAGAACUGCCGUUGAUACUGAUAGUCUUGAGUUUGGUUAAGGUAGGCGGAAUGUGUAAUGUAGCGGUGAAAUGCUUAGAUAUUACACAGAACACCGAUUGCGUAGGCAGCUUACUGAGCCGACACUGACGCUGAGGCACGAAAGCGUGGGGAUCGAACAGGAUUAGAAACCCCUGUAGUCC